UACGGAGGAUCCGAGCGUUAUCCGGAUUUAUUGGGUUUAAAGGGUGCGCAGGCGGGGGAUUAAGUCGGCGGUGAAAUUUUGCAGCUCAACUGUAAAAGUGCCUUCGAAACUGGUUUCCUUGAGUGUAGAUGAAGUAGGCGGAAUUUGUGGUGUAGCGGUGAAAUGCAUAGAUAUCACGAGGAACUCCGAUUGCGCAGGCAGCUUACUAAACUACUACUGACGCUCAUGCACGAAGGCGUGGGGAUCAAACAGGAUUAGAUACCCGUAGUCCCU
RNAcentral lists this ribosomal RNA (273 nucleotides) under uncultured prokaryote. RNAcentral describes it as "partial 16S ribosomal RNA". It matches the Rfam family "Bacterial small subunit ribosomal RNA", at positions 524 to 798 of the family's 1533-position model. The record is from RNAcentral.